Molecule: ribosomal RNA, 429 nt
Filed under: Chloroflexota bacterium
Lineage: Bacteria; Bacillati; Chloroflexota
Also listed under: 1 other name
Description: Chloroflexi bacterium partial 16S ribosomal RNA
Rfam family: Bacterial small subunit ribosomal RNA
Source: RNAcentral
UGGGGAAUAUUGCACAAUGGGCGCAAGCCUGAUGCAGCCAUGCCGCGUGUAUGAAGAAGGCCUUCGGGUUGUAAAGUACUUUCAGCGGGGAGGAAGGGAGUAAAGUUAAUACCUUUGCUCAUUGACGUUACCCGCAGAAGAAGCACCGGCUAACUCCGUGCCAGCAGCCGCGGUAAUACGGAGGGUGCAAGCGUUAAUCGGAAUUACUGGGCGUAAAGCGCACGCAGGCGGUUUGUUAAGUCAGAUGUGAAAUCCCCGGGCUCAACCUGGGAACUGCAUCUGAUACUGGCAAGCUUGAGUCUCGUAGAGGGGGGUAGAAUUCCAGGGGUAGCGGUGAAAUGCGUAGAGAUCUGGAGGAAUACCGGUGGCGAAGGCGGCCCCCUGGACGAAGACUGACGCUCAGGUGCGAAAGCGUGGGGAGCAAACAGG